RNAcentral lists this transfer RNA (69 nucleotides) under Cavia porcellus (domestic guinea pig). It matches the Rfam family "tRNA". Rfam says of the family: Transfer RNA (tRNA) molecules are approximately 80 nucleotides in length. Their secondary structure includes four short double-helical elements and three loops (D, anti-codon, and T loops). Lineage: Eukaryota; Metazoa; Chordata; Mammalia; Rodentia; Caviidae. The record is from Rfam by way of RNAcentral.
GGGGAUAUAGCUCAGUGAUACAGUACCUGUCUGGCAAGCACAAGGUCCUGAGUUUGAUUCUCAGUACCA